UACGGAGGGGACUAGCGUUGUUCGGAAUUACUGGGCGUAAAGCGCACGUAGUCGGCUUUGCAAGUCGGUUGUGAAAUCCCCGGGCUCAACCUGGGAACUGCAUCCGAGACUGCAUUGCUAGAGUAUGGGAGAGGAAAGCGGAAUUUCUGGUGUAGCAGUGAAAUGCGUAGAUAUCAGAAGGAACAUCAGUGGCGAAGGCGGCUUUCUGGACCAAUACUGACGAUCAGGUGCGAAAGCGUGGGGAGCAAACAGG
This 253-nucleotide ribosomal RNA is filed under the name uncultured bacterium. RNAcentral's name for it is "partial 16S ribosomal RNA". It matches the Rfam family "Bacterial small subunit ribosomal RNA", at positions 524 to 776 of the family's 1533-position model. The record is from RNAcentral.